Molecule: long non-coding RNA, 737 nt
Organism: Cavia porcellus (domestic guinea pig)
Lineage: Eukaryota; Metazoa; Chordata; Mammalia; Rodentia; Caviidae
Exons: 2
Source: RefSeq, a predicted model, not a curated record
GAGCUGCUCUGAAGCUGGCCAUCAGAUGAGGAAUUCAAGGAUAUGUCCUACAGUGGACAGCCAAUGUAAAAGUGGUUCCAAAAUAAAAGUUUAUUUUUCUUUCACAGUAAGUCAGAAGUAGAUAAUUCUGGUGAGGUUGCUUCUGCCGCACUUUAAUAGUCAAACAUAAUUACAAGAGAAACUACAGAAUGAAUUCUUUACUAUCGAUGACAUUAUGUUCAACUAAUAAUGAAGUAUUUUAUUACUUAGAGUAAAAAAGGCUAAAAAUAAUGAGAAAAAAAUAGUAAUCUCUGCCUGUGGUAUAGGAAUUCCUAAGACUCACAUGAUUCACAUUUCCUUGUGUUCCCUUCUUAGGUAUGGACAGCAUAUAACCUGCUUCUAAGCCACAGAAUCUGGAAAAGAUUGAGGAGACCUUUGGGCUGGACACAAGCAAGCAUCCACACUGGAGAAUAUACAUGACAAGGAAUUGGGUAUUUUCUAGAAGCUGAGAGCAGCCCCUGGCCAACAGUGAGCAAAGAAUAAAUAGCUCUUCAUCUAAGGACCACAAAUAAUUGAAGAUUGCUAGGGCAAGAGCAAGAAAGCAGAUCCCUUCCAAGUCAAACCUCUAGAGAAGAAUUUUACCCUUGGCUGAAACCUUCACUGCACUUAUGUGAUACUCUUAUAAGAUCAUGGCUAAGUUGUGCCCAGAUCCUUGACCCUCAGAAAAUAAGAUAAUAAAUGUUUAUUGUAUUAUCCCA